Long non-coding RNA from Gambusia affinis (western mosquitofish), 1617 nucleotides. RefSeq lists it as uncharacterized. The transcript is spliced from 3 exons. NCBI's taxonomy places the organism in Eukaryota, Metazoa, Chordata, Actinopteri, Cyprinodontiformes, Poeciliidae. The record is from RefSeq and is a predicted model, not a curated record.
ACCAGCGUUGUUCUUCCUCACGCUGAACCGUCCUGCUCUGUGUCAAAGCAGCGCCACUCUGCCAUCUCCCAGCAAGUUCACAAACCUGUCAUUUCCCAAACCAGAAAUCCAUUUGCAACUUCUUGCAAACACUUCCCACACGGACAAAAAGGCAUGAAGAGCCUGACAAGAGCCUGGCGUUCUUCCUCCUUCCGGCUCGCAACCCUGCAAUCAGACAGCAUCAGAGAGCUGGAUGCACUUUGGUUCCAGGCUCUUCAGCCGUCACAGCUCCUUCAAACGUGAAGAAGCUGCUGACAAUCAGUCCGUCUUUUCAUAAACACAACAGCAAAUUGCUCAUUUUUAAACAGGAAGACAAUUCAAACCCGUCUGUUUGGUCCUUGGCCAGUUAGUUCCCGAGUUCAUGCCCACUUGUUGCAUUUCUUCCUGCUUCUAGUUUAAACAAGCUGUUUUACACCAUGUAACAGCAGUGAAUUUCUUUCGGUAGUGGGAAAAUAUUUGAUAAUAAAAAGACUUUGAAUUUACCAGUUAAAAUGCAAGGAUAAUGUGAUGUAAACAAUAUUUUGAACAAAGGAAGUUUGAUUUGUUCUACUAAACUGCAUACAGUAGCUUCAAAUUCAAAUUCAAAAACACUUUAUUGAUCCCAAAGGUGAAUUAAAUGCUGUAACUCAUUGAUUCAGAUUCUUCAGAAUAGUUAUUGUAGAUAGUGAUGACUGUUGGCAGGAAAGAUCUCCCAUAGUGGUCUCUGUUACAGCAAAUGUGAAUAAACCUCUGACUGAAGAUACUCUGUCUUCUCAUGAACAGGAUGGUCAGGAUUGUCUUUAAUUUUCUUGAUUUUAUGAAGAAUCCUUCUGCAUUUCAUCAUAUUUUCAAAUUUAUUGAAAUCAGUAAUUUAUAGGUGUAGCUACAUUGAGGAGGAGUUGAUAAUUAUUCUGAUGAUGUACAGGUACUGGUCAAAAAUUUUUAAUAUCAUGAAAAAGUUGAUUUAACUCAGUAAUUCCUUCAAAAAGUAAAAUUUGUAAGAUAUAGUCAUUCGUUACAUACAGAUUAACGUUCAUAUACUUUACAAGAAAGCAUGAUUAGACAGAUAUUAAAUAUCACAUUAUGGAAAAGGUGCGUGCCCAACCGUUGGUAACCAUGGAAACAGUGCCGAAACUCCGCCCACUCCUCCAUAACGGUCGUCAAAACAAACAAUGCACUCCUUUAAAGUUAAUCUAAAAACAGACAUGUAACCUAUUAACCUAUGAUCGCUUCUAAUUAGUUGAUUUCACUUUUAAAAAUGUCACCGGGUGCUGCGCGGUCGGCUGCACAAGAAGGUAAGGGUGAAGACCAAACUUUAUUUUCUAAGUGUUAAUGAGGAAAGAUACGGCAGAGACGGCUGGCAGCUCUCGGUGUUAUCGCGGAUUUGCAGCGAACAUUUUUUACAAGAGUCUAAUCCCACCUACAUUCACAGCCUGAUCCGGCCAGCAGCAGCUUGCCCAGCGGCAGGGAUCGUCUGACCGCCUUCACCACCUCCACUCGCUCCUCCUCCGUCAGGUUCUCCUCCAGCUUCUGGUAGUCUACGUCCUCCUUGGCGGUGAACGGAGUGGCAAUGGGGGGGUAAAUGCCGCUGAGAUCCAG